AGUCACACUGCACGUACGCCCAGUGCAGCCGUAUCGUUUCUACCUUUGUCAGGCUGUGGUUGGCAACGCAUCAACUUGAUUUGGAAUUGUAAAAAAAUAGCUUAGUAGUAUAACGCCGACCGGUGCUGUAACCGUCUGUGUACCACCGGUGCCGAUAGUACACUCUAAUCGGUGCGGCAACCGUCCGUGUAGCACCGCUCCUUUCUAAUAUUCGCAUCAUAUCAUUAGCGGCUAUUCUGUAAUAUUCCAAUUAUUGUAAUAAAACAAUAUGCAACGUUGUACGAAAGGGUCUGGUACGUUAUUUAAAUAGUACACUAGUUAAUUGAAGCCAUCCAUCCAAAGCAUUGGAACUUCAACGAAUCUUGUGGGACACACAAAAUAAUAACAGGUGAUAAAACAAACAUAUAAUUUUAUGAUUUUCCCAGCAGAGACCUGUGUAGAUUCAGGAAAAUUCACCAACUUCAACAAUGGAGAAGAAGCCAAGGUUUUUCAAGAAAAUUAUAUACGUAGUUUUGUUUCCGUGGUACAGGAUUAGUCGAAGAAAUUAUGCUUGAUCAACGUACAGUUACAUCAAACCGGUACAUCACAAAAUGAUUCCCCGUUUUUGUUGAGUCAGUCAAUAUUCGUAAGCUGCAGUUGCAUUACUAUAAUAAAUCGUCACACACUGCACAGCAAACAAUUCAACAAUUCACUGGUCGACAUAGUAUUGGUAGCUAAAUGGAAUUUGUUUUCAAAGCAAAGCGAGUAAUUAUCCAGUAUGAACGUGCUAUAGAUAUAGUUUAGAAUAAACUCAGCAGGAUUUUUUAGUAACGUAUACUUAUUGAGCGCUGUAAAUUUAAAAAAUCCGGUCUUCCAGUUGUAAACUUCUCGCAGUUCUUAAUAUUCUAAUAACAUUAGUUGAUAUCUUUAAAGUUCUUUUCACUUGUGAUUGAAAGUAAAGCUUAAUGAACGAUUUCAUCAUUAGUAAACGCAGGCAUCGUUGAUAAAUGGAUUUUAAAGUUUGAUACAGUAAUUACCCAUAUUCCAAGGAAACAUUAGAGAGUAACAUCAGAAGAUAGUUCGAUUAAUUUUCACGUACUAUAAAAAGUUCAACACCCUGUAAUGUAUCAACGACACGACUUAUCAAACACCAAAACUAUUUGUCUUAAAAAUUAUCAGUACCUUCAAAUUAUUUUGGGAAAACCCUCUAUUUCUAUUCUUCUAAUAAUAUAAGUUGAUGUCUCAAAAGUUCUCGUUACUUGUAAACGAGAGUGGAACUUAGUAAACGUUUCGUAAUAUGAAAAAAAAAAUUAUUAUUCGAAUGACAUCACCUCUUUAUUUUUGAAAAAUAUUUGACCACCGAGCCAUUUUUUCAAGUCUGGGAACAGAAAAUAAUCCGAGAGGGUGAAAUCUAGUGUAUAGGGUGUAUGAGGUAUCAAUUCAAACUUUGAUUCAUUAAUUUUAGCCAUUGCGAUAACGUACGUGUGAGCUGAUGCACUGCUAGAUUUCUUCGCCCAAAAACUAAAUUCGCACAAUACUCGCCGUUGAUAUUUUUUCCUUUUUCAAUGUCGUCAAUGAAAAUUAUUCCACGCGCAUCCCAAAAAAACGACGCCAUAACCCUUCCUGCAAAUGGAACGAUCUUUACCUUCUUUGGAACCUGUUCUCCCUUUUUAGUCCAUUGUUUUGAUUGUUCUUUUGUUUCGGGUAUGAAGCGAUGAGCGCACGUUUCAUCCAUGGUUAUUAAACGGUGCAAAAAUUGGGCUUUAUUUCUGUAAAACAUUCCCAAGCACUCGAUGGAAACAUUUUCUCACCGCUGUUUUUGUUCCAUUGUGAGCAAACGCGGCACUCAUCUUGCGAACAGCUUUCUCAAGUCCAAAUUUUUAGUUAAUAUGUUAAUAUAUUAUGUCUGCUAGUUUACACACUUUCAAUUGAUGAUAUUUCAGUACCGCUUUGUGGAUUUUCUUCAACAUUUCUGUUGUCAUAUCCUCAUUUGGUCACUGCGAUGCUGGUCUUCGCAGGUCGCCUCAUUUAAACUCUGCUACUCAAUAUUUUAUUGUUGAUAACAAAGGAGCAGUCUCAUCCAGAGUAGAAUCUAGUUCAUCUUUCAUAUUUGUUGGGCCAAUGCCAAAUAAAAGUAUCGUAUCACACAAUGAUGACCAAUUUUUUCAACAAUUUCAAUGAAAACGUUCACUAUUGAUGGCUGCCAAACAAAUAAUAAACAACAUGGCUUCUUCAAAAUUGAAACGUAUGCUGUAUAUAUUGUGUACUUUCUACAGUGAUAUUUUUCAAGCAAAUCUUUAGGUCAGGCUAGGUACUUCUGGGACUAUCCUCGUAUCCUAUAGAAUAACUGCUGACUCUUCUUCUUUUUUAUUGCAUUUUCCAUGCCCGUAACUCGGAAUUUAACAUUUUAUUCAUCACAAGCAAAACAAUCCUUAUUAUUAAUGUCUGAUGCAUUGGAUUAUUUAGGGUCAUGUAUUGAACUCAUGGAAAUCAUCAUCGAAAUAAUUUUUAGCGAAAAACGGCUGAAUAUGCUUCAAAAACUUUGGAAAUGAAACCGUUUCAUUUAUAUUAUAUUUCUUUGUUUUAUUACUAUUCAAAUAUGGGUAAUUGUAAAAAAAAACGACCCUUACUUUUCAAACGAUCUGGGAUUUCUUGUUGAAACAAACCUAAAAUUUCAAAUUAAUUUCAACACUUGGAAUUUUAGAGUUGUUGCUUGGUAAAUAAUUAUAUUAUUCAAUUGUCUAGUUAUAAAUAUAAUUUAUGACAGGAAAAAGAUAAAAUUGAUUUUAUUCAUAUGUUGCAACUAAUUAAAUUUUGAUUGCUCCGUUCACUUUCAAGGAUGUCAAUUUGUUAAUAUAGUUAAAUAACCAAUUUAUUAUGUCUCAACACACAACAUUUAAAAUGAAGAUUAAAUGGAAUGAGAAGAAAGAAUACAAUAACUUAUUUCAUAGCUUCUUUAUAUUCCAGAGCAAAGUGAAAAGACGCUUGACAUAUGACAUCUCCGCUCAAAGAGUCUUAUAAGUCAAACAACAAAGUAUCGAGUGAUAAGCAUUUGAAAUUAAUUUAACCUUCAUUUUUCACUUUUCGUAUCAACUGAAAAAUUGACGAAGAUACAAUAGUUACAAUAGUAACUAUUUACAUGACAAGUUUUUUAGCAACAAUGCUACAAUAAAAAAGAUUUUCUAGUUUUUCGACUUAUGACACUAUUAGAGCGCAGGUGGGAUAUAUGACAAACAUGUUUGUCCUGUAAAGUGUAUGUAUACAAUAAAUAAUAGACUGAUGUGAAAACUCAAA
This is a long non-coding RNA of Diorhabda carinulata, 3273 nucleotides long. RefSeq lists it as uncharacterized. The transcript has 2 exons. The record is from RefSeq and is a predicted model, not a curated record. NCBI's taxonomy places the organism in Eukaryota, Metazoa, Arthropoda, Insecta, Coleoptera, Chrysomelidae.